CGGAGCAGCUGUGGCGGAAGCGCGGGGACACGCCGGCCGCGUGCUGCGGCGGCCAGGGACGCCGGUAUCUCCUGUGCUCCCGGGUUUCGUCGUGUUUCUCCCUUUUCCGACGUAGGCUCGUGAUACCCGUGAGCACUAGUCACCUGCUUUGUUAAAUGAGCCUAGUCCUUCCGACUGCACACACCGCGGCGGGCAACUGCCGGCUCCUGCGACAAAGGAAGGAAGGAUGCAGUCACCCCUGUUCAUUGUUCACCCAGCCGCUCUCCAGCUUCUCUUUCUGGCGCCUUGCCAGCGAGCUGAGGCACAGCCAGGGAGGUGGAGGUGGUCGGUCUCUGCGGAGGCGGUCGGUCUCUGCGGAGGUGGUGGGUCUCUGCGGAGGCGGUCGGUCUCUGCGUGGGCUGCCAGCCAGGCAGCGUCUCCUCCCCUGGGGUCUCCAAGGCCCCGGCCGCUCGGGUUCCUGGGCGCUGCCAGCCCGAGAAUUCCAGAGGCGUCAGAUAAGGGGCGGCAUGAACCCAACGGGACUGAAGUCAGCCGACUAGAAAUAACUCCCAUCUCUACCUUUGGUUCACUUUUGUGACCUUGUAUCCUUCAGGAGGCUCAUGGGAAGUGUAAAUAAUUGCCACUACCUCUUUUCUUUGAUUUUCCUUCAUUUUUUUGUGGAAAAUUCUGUUAAAACUAUCCAGUGUCACGUGACGAAAAAGGCAAUAGACUCAUUUUUGACAACCAAAUAUGACCUUAAUCUCCUCGGGAGGAGGUGCCAACAUAGUCUCCAGUGUCCAUCUGAUCCAAGAAGCUCGCUCCUCACCAGCAUCCUUCUCCAACCCAUUGUCCAGUCCAAUCCAUGUCUGAAGAGUUGGGUUCGGGAAUGAUUCCUGUCCUGGGCCAACAGAAGGUUCCGGAGGUGUGAGUAGGCUGUGUGGCUGGUUGCUUCUCCCUGUGGAAACUGCGGCCGAACGCUAGGACCAGCCUGCUGCCGCUGCUCCAGGAAUGGUGCCUGAGGGCUCCCUGCGAUUCAGGACUCGUGCUACAGUGACUCUCACCUAAAUACAGCAGGCUGGAGGAAGCAGACCCAUGCUCAUCCUGGCCGUGGUCCCCUCUCCAUGGGAUACAGACCUCUCAUCAGCCUGCCCUCAGAGAGCAGUUGACCUGUGCCACUGUCUUCCCUGCACCUCUCCCACAUCUCUGGGGUCCUUCUGUUGGCACUGACGUUGUGCAGACUCGGGAUUAGUCACCACUUUGUGCUGGUCUGGUUUACAAACACUCUGGAAUUGUCAUUAACUUUCUGCAGGGUGACUUUUCUCUGCUGCCUCUGCCACCUCUUAUAGCCCAGACGCAUUUCGAAACAGCUACGCUCCUUCUGGAAGAAAGAGGGCCCUAACAUUUUUCAGAGUUACAGAAUACUCCUUGCUUGGCCAUUCUCCUGUCACUGGGCAUCUGUGUCGAUACUAAAUUUUCACAACUAUGAGCAAUACCUGAGCUGCUUUCCUGGGACAUGUACUGUACCGCCCCACCAUGGAGGCAAUAAUAUGCAACAGUACUUACAUAAUACUUUACAGUUUACCGAUCAUUUUCCCACAGAUGGCAUUAUUUACCAACUCAAUAUCAAGGACCAUGUCUUAGUUUUUCUUUAUACUCCUGGCACAAUGCCUUGCACACGGUCAGUACCCAACACAGAUGUACAGAAUAAAUGAGUGAAUGGAUCCAUCAGUUGAUCAGUAAAUCAGUGAAUAAACUUCACGAAAUUACCUCCAAUAUCAACUAUCAUCUUCAGUUUUGUUUUCUGGCAGAUGAGGAAACUGAGGCUAUCCAAGGUGAAGGACCUGCCUUAGGGGCCAGGGCCUGUGCUCCUCCCCACGGGACUGUCCUCUCUCAGUCACAGGGCAGCAGCUCCACCACACUUACUGUAGCACUCUUCCAGAUUUCUUUCUAAGAGCUGCUCCCCUUUACGAAGACUCCUCCUUCCCCCCGCCACAACGGUGCUUGUCUCCUCACAACUCUGCCAUAGUUGGCUUCUUUUCAUAGUGAUUUCUUGUUGGAAUCUCCUCAUGGGUAGUAUGACUGCUUCACGUCUAGACCGUGUGCUGAGAAGCAGUGUGCCUGCCAGGGUGGUUAUAAAUUAGGGCUCUGAAGAAAGAAAGAACUGGGCUCAAAUCCCAGCUCUACUGAGGAACCGUCCAAACCUUGGAUAUGUUGCCAAACUUCGCAGUGCGUCAAUUUUCUCAUCUAUAUAAUGGGAAUGGUUAUAGUACCUAACUCCUGGGGUUGCUGUAAGGAUUAAGUGAGAUAAUGUACGAAGUACUUAGCAGGCUCAAAAACACUGCUCUUAUUUUGAGUGUCAUUAUACGUGAUGAAAAGAGGGAAGGGGACCAUGAUCUGUCUGAGUGCCUACUUAUGUACCAAUCCAGUAUCACUGCUUUUUCUGUAUUUUCUGGUUUAAUCCUCAGAGCAGCUCCGUGAAUAGGCAUUUUUCCCCUUUUGAAAAUGAGGAAACUGGCUGGAGAGGUUCCAUCCAGAAGUAAGAGGCAGAACCAGGUCUGAUGAACUCCAAAGUCCAUCCUGCUCCAGGACUUCAGGCUUCCUCCAGUCCCUUAUCUAUCUGCGGUUGCACUUUAACCAGUGAUACCUAUGUGCAGACGUUUUUUCCUUUUGUAUGUAAUUAUAGUUUAUCAUGCAAAUGCUCUUAUAUACCCCAGGCCAUCAAUCUUGUCUCUGACAGUAUACUUAAUGUCUUCAAAUAGGUGGAAAUAUAUUGUCUUGUCAGAGUUAAGAAAACAGUGUUCUGCUUCCUUUAGGAAGUUGCGGCAGGUUUAUGGUUCACUCUGCUCUGUAGGAACUUCUGAGUGUGAGUGAGCGGCAUGGCUAUGGGCUAACCCUUCUCCCCGUGACGGCAAGACACACACCCCACUUCUGACUCAGCUUCCAUUGCUCUCAGCUCCCCAGUUGCCCUGGACUCUCUCAUACAGCUGCACACCUCUGUAUAAACCAGGCCCUGGGCUUGGAGAGCCCUUCCAGCUGCCUCUACUUGAAUCUUAGCAAUCCUUUGGGCCAGGCCUUCUUUCUGCAAAGUUCUCACCUCCCAGCCUCCACCAAAAGAAAUGAGAUGGACUUCCUGACGGCUCCCCCUGGGCUUCCCACUCUCCCCAUUCAUUCACCCAACAUCUCGACUGCCCAUUUCUGUGUCAGCAUAUCACACCAGGGUGGCUUUGCUGGAGGUUUCGCAGGCUUCUGUCAUCCUCAUCUCUACCCUCAGCACCUCUCACAGAGACUAGCACAGAAUACAUGCUCAACACAAAUUUGGUGGGUAAACGGUAGAUCGAAAAAUGAAAUGAGAGAUGGACAAAUGAAGAACUUGUUCAACAACCUUAUUAAAUAGUGGUUCCCUCUACUGCAUGUUGUUACGUUGUUGUUAGGUGCCAUCGAGUCAGUUCCGACUCACAGCGACCCUACACACAACAGAACGAAACACUGCCCGGUCCUGAGCCAUCUUACAAUCAUUAUGCUUGAACUCAUUGUCACAGCCACUGUGUCCACGUCAUUAAGGUCGACUCUACUUUGAGGAGGCAGCUCUUCCCCAGUCAUCUUUUCAGUGCCUUCCAACCUGGGGGGGCGCUCACCUUCCAGCACUAUAACAGACAAUAUUCCGCUCCUACUCAUAAGGUUUUCACUGGCUAAUGCUUUUCAGAACUAGACUGCCGGGUCCUUCUUCCUAGCCUUAGUCUGGAAGCUCAGCUGAAACCUGUCCUCCAUGGAUGACCCUGCCGGUAUCUGAAUACCAGUGGCAUAGCUUCCAGUGUCACAGCAACAUGCAAGCCCCCACAGUACGAAA
This is a long non-coding RNA of Loxodonta africana (African savanna elephant), 3826 nucleotides long. RefSeq lists it as uncharacterized. The record is from RefSeq and is a predicted model, not a curated record. NCBI's taxonomy places the organism in Eukaryota, Metazoa, Chordata, Mammalia, Proboscidea, Elephantidae. The transcript is spliced from 5 exons.